Molecule: long non-coding RNA, 308 nt
Filed under: Hordeum vulgare
Lineage: Eukaryota; Viridiplantae; Streptophyta; Magnoliopsida; Poales; Poaceae
Description: long non-coding RNA (HVUL_LNC016092)
Source: RNAcentral
AAAGAAGGAAGAAGAAGAAGAAGAAAAAAAAAGAGGAGGAGGAGAAUAAGAGGAAAUAUAGACAAAGAGGAAGAAAAAGAGGAGAAGAAGAAAAGAAGAAGAAGAAGAAGAAUAAGAAGAAGAAGAAGAAGAAGAAGAAGAAGAGAAGAAAAGGAAGAAGAAGAGGAGAAGAAGGAUAAGUACAGGAGAAAAAGAUGAAAAUAGAAGUGGCAAAGUAGUUAUCUAUAUAGAGUUUUUUCUAUCGGGAUUGAAUAUUCGUGUUGAUCGUGUGGAUUUAAAUGUGAGUUGUUUCUUCUCUUCGAGGGUUU